GGGGAUAUAGCUCAUCUGGUAGAGUGCUUGCCUUGAAUACAGAAGGGCCUGGGUUCGAUCCCCAGCACCA
This is a non-coding RNA of Ictidomys tridecemlineatus (thirteen-lined ground squirrel), 70 nucleotides long. Lineage: Eukaryota; Metazoa; Chordata; Mammalia; Rodentia; Sciuridae. The record is from Rfam.